Molecule: transfer RNA, 72 nt
Filed under: bacterium
Lineage: Bacteria
Description: tRNA-Val
Rfam family: tRNA
About the family: Transfer RNA (tRNA) molecules are approximately 80 nucleotides in length.
Source: RNAcentral
GGGCGGAUAGUUCAGUGGGAGAACGCCUGCUUCACGCGCAGGAGGCCGCAGGUUCAAAUCCUGUUCCGCCUA